UACAGAGGGUGCAAGCGUUAAUCGGAAUUACUGGGCGUAAAGCGUGCGUAGACGGUAGCGUAAGUCGGGUGUGAAAGCCCCGGGCUCAACCUGGGAAUUGCAUUCGAGACUGCUCUGCUAGGGUGCGGAAGAGGGGAGCGGAAUUUCCGGUGUAGCGGUGAAAUUCGUAGAUAUUGGGAAGAACACCGGUGGCGAAGGCGGCUAUCUGGACCGACAUUGACGCUGAGGCGCGAAAGCGUGGGGAGCAAACAGG
This 253-nucleotide ribosomal RNA is filed under the name uncultured bacterium. RNAcentral describes it as "partial 16S ribosomal RNA". It matches the Rfam family "Bacterial small subunit ribosomal RNA", at positions 524 to 776 of the family's 1533-position model. The record is from RNAcentral.